CUAGCCGUAAACGAUGGAUACUAGGUGUGGGGGAAGCAGUUCCUCCGUGCCGGAGUUAACGCGAUAAGUAUCCCGCCUGGGAACUACGGCCGCAAGGCUGAAACUCAAAGGAAUUGACGGGGGCCCGCACAAGCGGUGGAGCACGUGGUUUAAUUCGAUGCAAACCGAAGAACCUUACCUGGGUUUGACAUACAAGUGGUAGUGAAGCGAAAGUGGAACGACCUUAGUAGCAAUACUAGGGAGCUUGAACAGGUGC
RNAcentral lists this ribosomal RNA (256 nucleotides) under uncultured bacterium. RNAcentral's name for it is "partial 16S ribosomal RNA". It matches the Rfam family "Bacterial small subunit ribosomal RNA", at positions 796 to 1041 of the family's 1533-position model. The record is from RNAcentral.